This is a transfer RNA of 94 nucleotides. It matches the Rfam family "tRNA". Rfam says of the family: Transfer RNA (tRNA) molecules are approximately 80 nucleotides in length. Their secondary structure includes four short double-helical elements and three loops (D, anti-codon, and T loops). Further hydrogen bonds mediate the characteristic L-shaped molecular structure. tRNAs have two regions of fundamental functional importance: the anti-codon, which is responsible for specific mRNA codon recognition, and the 3' end, to which the tRNAs corresponding amino acid is attached (by aminoacyl-tRNA synthetases). tRNAs cope with the degeneracy of the genetic code in two manners: having more than one tRNA (with a specific anti-codon) for a particular amino acid; and 'wobble' base-pairing, i.e. permitting non-standard base-pairing at the 3rd anti-codon position.
GGUCGCUUAGCUCAGUCGGUUAGAGCGUGGUGCUAAUAAUGAGAUUGAUCUCAGGAUAACGCCAAGGUCGCGAGUUCGACCCUCGUAGGGACCA